Molecule: ribosomal RNA, 253 nt
Filed under: Bacteroides acidifaciens
Lineage: Bacteria; Pseudomonadati; Bacteroidota; Bacteroidia; Bacteroidales; Bacteroidaceae
Also listed under: 1 other name
Description: partial 16S ribosomal RNA
Rfam family: Bacterial small subunit ribosomal RNA
Source: RNAcentral
UACGGAGGAUCCGAGCGUUAUCCGGAUUUAUUGGGUUUAAAGGGAGCGUAGGUGGAUUGUUAAGUCAGUUGUGAAAGUUUGCGGCUCAACCGUAAAAUUGCAGUUGAAACUGGCAGUCUUGAGUACAGUAGAGGUGGGCGGAAUUCGUGGUGUAGCGGUGAAAUGCUUAGAUAUCACGAAGAACUCCGAUUGCGAAGGCAGCUCACUGGACUGCAACUGACACUGAGGCUCGAAAGUGUGGGUAUCAAACAGG